RNAcentral lists this transfer RNA (130 nucleotides) under Promethearchaeota archaeon. Its description in RNAcentral is "Candidatus Lokiarchaeota archaeon (permafrost metagenome) tRNA-Leu". The record is from RNAcentral. Lineage: Archaea; Promethearchaeati; Promethearchaeota.
GCCUCCGUAGCUCAGCUAGGUAGAGCAUCGCCAUUAACGGUGUGCCAAAAGCACCCGGCUAAGGACCGGGCGGUCGCAUGUUCGAUAUUAUGCUAAAAAUCUGAGCAUAACGAGUCCCAUGCCGGGGGCG